CCGGGGAGGGGGUGCUGGCCCCACAGGCCUGGCCGGAGAGGGUGGCCGGAGCUGCCCACCCCCUGGCCCCUCCCCCGCAGGGAGCCGCUGCGGGCCUGGCGGACUCAGGGUGGGGAGGGGGGCGCAGCCCAGCGCCCGAAUUUUCUAAAUCGCUGCCUCUCUCUUCCCAGACCGCCACCCCGAGCGGGCUCCCCGCUCCAAAUCGGACCCCCUGGAGUCCCCCCGCUGUGCAUGUGAACACAGUGAGGCCCGCAGCGUGGCAGGGCCGGGGGCGGGGGCGGAAGAACAGCUGGAAACGCCAGCGUGCCCCAGGGUCACGCUGCGACGCAGGUGCCAACAGAGAUCUAUUCCGUGCCGGCCCUCUGCGUUCCGAUACCCCUAGGAUUGGGGUACCCGCUCCCAGACGUCCUUCGGUGCCUUGCCACUUAGCUCCCCGGACCCUCAGUUUCCCAUCUGUUAAAUAGGGAGAUGGUUUUCAUCUCCUGAGUGUGUGCAGAUGUAAAGUACAACAGCCAGCCGGCGCAGGUGAGGGGGGAGGGUGAGGAGAGCUGCUUCGGCCACCUCUUUCCCACCCCCACCCCGCCCCCGAGAGAGCCCUGGGGUUCGCGGACCCAAACCCGCACUCAAAGGACUGGGAGGCCGAGAAAUCUGGAGGCCAGGAGACAAACAGGAAGGAAGUUCUGACAAUGCUACAAGGCGGAUGAACCUUGAGGACAUUAUGCCAAGUGAUUAAAACAGUCACAAAAAGACAAAUACGCAUGAUUCUGAGAAGGGUCGCCUCAGUAUCCUCAGAUGUUAACGGCAUCCGCGUGGGUGAAAGGUUAAGAGCCCUCGCACCUCCAAUUGGAGGAUCCCGACAGGAAUUCCGGAGCAACCAGGGAUUCUGGGAAUGGUAGUUCACAGCCCCCAGCUGGAGCCUCGCGGAGAAGGGUGGGCUUGGAGCUGGGAGACAAAAGCUCCGAGACCGACAUCGGGUGGGCGAGGGGUUCGAAGGAUGCACGCUCGGCACGCCCGGCCCCCACGCUGCCCGCCGGUCUCACACGCGCACACACACCUGUCCACUUGUGCCGUGCGGCACGUGGCGCUCCGGGUUGCAUUCGCACACGUUUUCCAAUACAGGUGUCCAUUCGAACGUGUGCGGGUCAAGCUCGCAGACGCUUCCUCGCUCUUUCCGGAGACAUCCCCGCUGGAGCAGGGGCCUCGGCAGUGACCGCGAAGGGCCUGGGCGAGGGGGUGAUGCGCAGCAAGUGUGCCAGGCAGAGGGCACAGAGUGCAAAGGCCCCGAGGCAGGAGGUUGCGUGGCCAGCGGGAUGGCUGGGGGAGAACAGCAGGAGACGAGGGAGGCUCGGCUUCGUUGGCCAAGGAGGGGCGUUAGGACAGGCCAGAGGCCGGGUCUCGCAGGUGAGCGCCGGGCCGCUUGCCUAGUGAAUUGAAUGACACUUAUUGUUCUCCGCGUGGGUGCAGCGGCGGCUUCGGAAGUGACUCAGCGGAAUUCCUGGGCGCUGGGGGUGGGCUGGAGGGAUGCUCCGAAUAGGCUGGGGAGGGGGCGUAGCCCGCACAGAGGCCCCACCUCCGAGUUCUGGCCGCACCCACCCCGGAGUUCUCCACCCGCCCCCCACCUACACCCCAGCUUAGGGCUUCUGGAGGGACCCGCGGGAGCCGAGGAAAGGAGGGUAUUGGUGGGCGUAGAGCCCGAGGGUUCAGGGAGAGAGGGAGGGAGCGGGGUGGGCGGGGCCUUCUCCGCAUCCUCGGGACCCCCCCAUCCUUGAGCCUAGACUUGGGUGGACGUGGGGCGCCCUGGAAGGAACUGGGGUGCGGAGGGGAGACGGCUGUCUUCAGUUCCAGAGGCCCAGGCCUUUGGCGGGAGCUGAGCUGGCCCAGUCCGGACUCCCUGAGUGACUCAGCCGGAUCAGGACCUCUCUAGGACUAACUUCUUCCCCUAAAUAAAGGGAACUAUUCAGUAAGCACGCUCAA
Cervus elaphus (red deer) is the source of this 1974-nucleotide long non-coding RNA. RefSeq lists it as uncharacterized. The record is from RefSeq and is a predicted model, not a curated record. Lineage: Eukaryota; Metazoa; Chordata; Mammalia; Artiodactyla; Cervidae. The transcript is spliced from 3 exons.